Molecule: transfer RNA, 73 nt
Filed under: Stegodyphus mimosarum
Lineage: Eukaryota; Metazoa; Arthropoda; Arachnida; Araneae; Eresidae
Rfam family: tRNA
About the family: Transfer RNA (tRNA) molecules are approximately 80 nucleotides in length.
Source: Rfam by way of RNAcentral
GCCUUCGUGGUGUAGUGGUCAACAAGCUCGAUGCGUAACCGAGAGGUCCGUGGUUCGAUUCCCGGCGAAGGCG